UAUAUCAAACGAGUAACUUUACAAAGAGUUCCAAUUGAGUUACAAGAAUUAAUCCUAAUUCUACCCAAAUCCCGAAUCUCUUCCCGUGGCCAAGAGACUCAAUUUGAUAAGUAUUUCCCAAGGUGUAAUCAAUCCCUUUUGCCCAACCCUAGAGUUAUACCAAGAGACAACCCCUCUUGUUUCUCUCUAAAACCCUAGCCUUGUGUCGGCGGCAAAUCCUAAUUGCAAACCCUACAUUGUUGCUCCC
RNAcentral lists this long non-coding RNA (247 nucleotides) under Trifolium pratense (red clover). Its description in RNAcentral is "long non-coding RNA (TPRA_LNC002909)". Lineage: Eukaryota; Viridiplantae; Streptophyta; Magnoliopsida; Fabales; Fabaceae. The record is from RNAcentral.